UACAGAGGGUGCGAGCGUUGUCCGGAAUCACUGGGCGUAAAGGGCGCGUAGGUGGCGACCCAAGUCGAUGGUGAAAGCUCGCCGCUCAACGGCGAGUCGGCCGCCGAUACUGGGUUGCUGGAGCACUGUAGAGGCAGAUGGGAAUUCCGGGUGUAGCGGUGGAAUGCGUAGAGAUCCGGAAGAACACCGGUGGCGAAGGCGGUCUGCUGGGCAGUUGCUGGACA
This 224-nucleotide ribosomal RNA is filed under the name uncultured bacterium. RNAcentral's name for it is "partial 16S ribosomal RNA". It matches the Rfam family "Bacterial small subunit ribosomal RNA", at positions 524 to 745 of the family's 1533-position model. The record is from RNAcentral.